GAUGAAGAACGUAGCGAAAUGCGAUAAGUAAUGUGAAUUGCAGAAUUCAGUGAAUCAUCGAAUCUUUGAACGCACAUUGCGCCCGCCGGCACUCCGGCGGGCAUGCCUGUCCGAGCGUCAUUUCAACCCUCGGGCCCACCCUUCGCGGGGAACGGGCCCGGCGUUGGGGACCGGAGGCCGCCUCGGCGGCACCCGCCCCCUAAAUUCAGUGGCGGUCGCGCCGCAGCCUCCCCUGCGUAGUAGCACACCUCGCACCGGAGAGCGGCACGGCCACGCCUCGAAACCCCCCAAUUUUUUCAGGUUGACCUCGGAUCAGGUAGGAAUACCCGCUGAACUUAAGCAUAUCAAUAAGCGGAGGA
Molecule: unclassified non-coding RNA, 359 nt
Filed under: soil metagenome
Description: partial contains 5.8S ribosomal RNA, internal transcribed spacer 2, and large subunit ribosomal RNA
Rfam family: 5.8S ribosomal RNA (bases 1-120)
Source: RNAcentral